AUUGAACGCUGGCGGCAGGCUUAACACAUGCAAGUCGAGCGGGGAAAUAUAGCUUGCUAUAUGACCUAGCGGCGGACGGGUGAGUAAUGCUUAGGAAUCUGCCUAUUAGUGGGGGACAACAUUUCGAAAGGGAUGCUAAUACCGCAUACGCCCUACGGGGGAAAGCAGGGGAUCUUCGGACCUUGCGCUAAUAGAUGAGCCUAAGUCGGAUUAGCUAGUUGGUGGGGUAAAGGCCUACCAAGGCGACGAUCUGUAGCGGGUCUGAGAGGAUGAUCCGCCACACUGGGACUGAGACACGGCCCAGACUCCUACGGGGGGCAGCAGUGGGGAAUAUUGGACAAUGGGGGGAACCCUGAUCCAGCCAUGCCGCGUGUGUGAAGAAGGCCUUUUGGUUGUAAAGCACUUUAAGCGAGGAGGAGGCUCCUGUAGAUAAUACCUACAGUGAGUGGACGUUACUCGCAGAAUAAGCUCCGGCUAACUCUGUGCCAGCCGCCGCAGUAA
RNAcentral lists this ribosomal RNA (501 nucleotides) under uncultured bacterium. Its description in RNAcentral is "partial 16S ribosomal RNA". It matches the Rfam family "Bacterial small subunit ribosomal RNA", at positions 30 to 523 of the family's 1533-position model. The record is from RNAcentral.